UUGGCGGGUCUCUUCCGCCUCCCUGGCUUUUCCUUGCCUCUGGAAAGUCAGGGAAAACACCUGUACGCCUACAUCUGCAAGUCCGCUGCGGGUCGGGCCGGCACCGGAGCUGCACCCUUCGGCGACUGACUGCUGGGUUCUGGUUACAGCGCGUUUAAAUCUCCCGCCGUUGCUCUGGCAAAUUUUUGUGUCCCUUUAUGUUCUUGUUUAUGGUUUCUUCUUCUUAUUAUCCCUUUUUUGCAUUGAAAAGGUCCUUGACCAGAUGCCCUUAAUGGAGUAGACACUCUUGUUCCACAUAUGUUUGCAGUUUUCUAUCCUUUCAUCCUUUUCAUUCUGAAGACUAGCAAAUUAUUUUAUCAAAACAGAAUUUGGUGAUGGUUUAUCAUACAAUAUAUACUUAAAUUAUUCUCAUUUUUAAUUGUGGUAUUCUGAAAGUGGAUAAUAAUGCUUGCAAGUGACUACAGAAUUGCUUUCUUGUAGCUGUCUUUGAAACUCCCUGUGAAGGUUUGUUGAGGCUGCAGGUAAGUAGGAGCAGCGGGCUAGUUGUGGCUCUUCAAUGAGCUUUCUGGUGCCAACUCUGUUCUGUUGUCUCAUUAUGUUUACUCCUGCUGUAUGCACACAGGAUAUAUACAUGCUCUUCAACAGAGGUAUAUACAUGCUCUUCAACAAAUUUAUUUCACACCAACAGUAGAUAAUUUGUGCUUAAUUAUCAUCUGCUGUCUACAGAGUACACUGGAUGAAGGAUUUAUUUGCUUAAACAAGGGGAUAAGACCAAAUUUGGUAAUGCAUUUGGCCUAAUUCUGCUUAAAAUUUUGUCCAGAGCAACCAACUUCUUCCUUGAUGAGUCAAUGGGAUACCAGCUCCCAAAACUGUGUAGGCACAGAUCUACAUUUUAGCAUAUUUUCAGGAAGCAAGAUGGGCUGGACCUCCAGCUGUUGCAAGGUGGCACAGUCCCUCAGACAUGAGUAGGAUGGCAUUGAUUUACAUCCAUCGAGGAUCCGAUCCUCUGAGGGAGGAUGGGAGAAAGUACAGCUGUCGUGGCUGGGAGUGCUAAAUCCAUGCCAAUGAGGUGAAGGGGACUGAGCUGCAUGGACUUACAGACCUCAGAGAGAGAAGGUAAUUGAAAAACCUGUUGUGUUUUGCUAGUCUCUGGAUGGAAGGAAUGGUCUGAUCCCUUGAAGAGAUUUAGAUUUUUGAGUUUCUCAGGUUUGUACCUGAUUAGUUCUGCUUUUAGAAACAUUUCAGCAGCUGCAGAUGAACAAAAUGCAAUAACCCUCUGACCAUGUCUCCUCUUUCCCAGGUAUGCCCUUUCAGUCUAGAGCUGGAAAAAGAACAGUAUCACAGUUACUACCUUGAAAGCAUGCUCCAUCAUGUGGUCUGCUCUCUUUGCUGAGAAUGAUCUGCAGGAACGGAUUAAAGUCAUACUUCUGCUUCCCGUCUUGGAGAAGGUUAAGUGUGAGAUGCGGCGACUGAUAAUCUCUAACAUGAAGUCACAUAACAGGCAUCUUUAGCAACAUCCCACUGACUUUAGAGUUCUAUUUUUGUGUUAUAUACUCAUUAAAAAAAAAAAGAGACUGCUUAAGUUGCUGGUUUAAACACUUGUUUU
Grus americana (Whooping crane) is the source of this 1606-nucleotide long non-coding RNA. RefSeq lists it as uncharacterized. Lineage: Eukaryota; Metazoa; Chordata; Aves; Gruiformes; Gruidae. The record is from RefSeq and is a predicted model, not a curated record. The transcript has 2 exons.